GGUGGCUCAGUGGUAGAGUGCUUGCGUUGCAAGCAUGAGGUUCUGGGUUUGAUUCCUUGGCACCA
This 65-nucleotide transfer RNA is filed under the name Dipodomys ordii (Ord's kangaroo rat). It matches the Rfam family "tRNA". Rfam says of the family: Transfer RNA (tRNA) molecules are approximately 80 nucleotides in length. Their secondary structure includes four short double-helical elements and three loops (D, anti-codon, and T loops). Further hydrogen bonds mediate the characteristic L-shaped molecular structure. tRNAs have two regions of fundamental functional importance: the anti-codon, which is responsible for specific mRNA codon recognition, and the 3' end, to which the tRNAs corresponding amino acid is attached (by aminoacyl-tRNA synthetases). tRNAs cope with the degeneracy of the genetic code in two manners: having more than one tRNA (with a specific anti-codon) for a particular amino acid; and 'wobble' base-pairing, i.e. permitting non-standard base-pairing at the 3rd anti-codon position. The record is from Rfam by way of RNAcentral. Lineage: Eukaryota; Metazoa; Chordata; Mammalia; Rodentia; Heteromyidae.